GUGGGGAAUUUUGGACAAUGGGCGCAAGCCUGAUCCAGCCAUGCCGCGUGCAGGAUGAAGGCCUUCGGGUUGUAAACUGCUUUUGUACGGAACGAAAAGACUCUGGUUAAUACCUGGGGUCCAUGACGGUACCGUAAGAAUAAGCACCGGCUAACUACGUGCCAGCAGCCGCGGUAAUACGUAGGGUGCGAGCGUUAAUCGGAAUUACUGGGCGUAAAGCGUGCGCAGGCGGUGAUGUAAGACAGUUGUGAAAUCCCCGGGCUCAACCUGGGAACUGCAUCUGUGAGUGCAUUGCUGGAGUGCGGCAGAGGGGGAUGGAAUUCCGCGUGUAGCAGUGAAAUGCGUAGAUAUGCGGAGGAACACCGAUGGCGAAGGCAAUCCCCUGGGCCUGCACUGACGCUCAUGCACGAAAGCGUGGGGAGCAAACAGGAUUAGAUACCCGAGUAGUCC
RNAcentral lists this ribosomal RNA (450 nucleotides) under uncultured bacterium. RNAcentral describes it as "partial 16S ribosomal RNA". It matches the Rfam family "Bacterial small subunit ribosomal RNA", at positions 354 to 796 of the family's 1533-position model. The record is from RNAcentral.